RNAcentral lists this long non-coding RNA (773 nucleotides) under Malus domestica (apple). RNAcentral describes it as "long non-coding RNA (MDOM_LNC014815)". The record is from RNAcentral. Lineage: Eukaryota; Viridiplantae; Streptophyta; Magnoliopsida; Rosales; Rosaceae.
GUAUGAAUAUGUGAUUUUUAUUUAAUUGCUUAUGAUUGAUUACAUUCAUACUUUGAAUUGUUAAUUACCGAGAUAAAAACUAUCUAAUUGUCUUAAUGCCUGAUCACCAUUAGGAUCUUUAAAAAAAUAAUUUGAUGCAAUUUUGGUCGGAAGGUUCCCUGAAAUUGACGCUGGCUUCUUGUGAUUAAUAAUUGUAAUUUCACUUAGGAUGAACACCACGUCUUAAGAGUUGCAUGGUUUUUCAAAGGGUUUUCAUAAAGCAUAAUGAGUCUUUCAUGUUCAGAUUUGAUCCAAACAUCCAAACGGGUUGCAAGUUUGAUAUACGUUCUAUAUUGGAGGUUCCAAGUAGAAUAUAAAUUAGGAAAACCUAACCUUCAAAGUGGCAUGUGUAGAUCAUAAGUAAUUGGUAAAAGUUCAUAGGAUUGCUAGGUGAUAGUGGAACCCUAGUGCUUUCUUAAUUUGAUUUCUCCCAAAACUGUUUUCUUUUCCCUGUAGUUUUAAUAUUGCAGAGUGUCUUAUUUUUAUUAAUUAAAUUCAUUUUUAAUUUAAGUAGGUUAUAAAAUCAAUCAUCUCAAUUUCUACUUUACAAUAAUUAAUUGGAAUUUGGUUUGUUUCGAAUUAUUUAAUAAUCCCUGUGGAGAACGACCUUGCGAGAUCCGUUUAUACUACAACAACCUUGUGAUUCUUGCAAGUAUAAUAGGAGUUUUUUAGCCAGUUCACAUGUGUAGUAAAAUCCCUAUCAAUCGAUUUCAGUCGGGCUGUUAACAUAAAAA